GACGAACGCUGGCGGCGUGCUUAACACAUGCAAGUCGAACGGAAAGGCCCUGCUUUUGUGGGGUGCUCGAGUGGCGAACGGGUGAGUAACACGUGAGUAACCUGCCCUUGACUUUGGGAUAACUUUAGGAAACUGGGGCUAAUACCGGAUAGGAGCUCCUGCUGCAUGGUGGGGGUUGGAAAGUUUCGGCGGUUGGGGAUGGACUCGCGGCUUAUCAGCUUGUUGGUGAGGUAGUGGUUUACCAAGGCUUUGACGGGUAGCCGGCCUGAGAGGGUGACCGGCCACAUUGGGACUGAGAUACGGCCCAGACUCCUACGGGAGGCAGCAGUGGGGAAUAUUGCACAAUGGGCGGAAGUGUGAUGCAGCAGCGCCGCGUGCGGAAUAACGGCCUUCGGGUUGUAAACCGCUUUCGCCUGUGACGAAGCGUGAGUGACGGUAAUGGGUAAAGAAGCACCGGCUAACUACGUG
This 468-nucleotide ribosomal RNA is filed under the name uncultured bacterium. RNAcentral's name for it is "partial 16S ribosomal RNA". It matches the Rfam family "Bacterial small subunit ribosomal RNA", at positions 28 to 507 of the family's 1533-position model. The record is from RNAcentral.